UGGGGCGUCGCCAAGUGGUAAGGCACCGGAUUUUGAUUCCGGCAUUCGAAGGUUCGAAUCCUUCCGCCCCAGCCA
Molecule: transfer RNA, 75 nt
Filed under: Alphaproteobacteria bacterium
Lineage: Bacteria; Pseudomonadati; Pseudomonadota; Alphaproteobacteria
Also listed under: 2 other names
Description: tRNA-Gln
Rfam family: tRNA
About the family: Transfer RNA (tRNA) molecules are approximately 80 nucleotides in length.
Source: RNAcentral